GGUUUGCUGCGGCGUUUGUGUAGGGAAGUUUUAUUCCAGCGACCUUACAUUUUCAUCAGGGAGCUGGCUCUGGUCUGGAUCGUGGUCCUAACUACCUGGUGCCCACCUAGCUUGCUGGGUCGAUGGGAAUACACAUACCCCACGGCGUUUGUGGCGCCACC
Molecule: non-coding RNA, 161 nt
Filed under: Hirschia baltica ATCC 49814
Lineage: Bacteria; Pseudomonadati; Pseudomonadota; Alphaproteobacteria; Hyphomonadales; Hyphomonadaceae
Also listed under: 1 other name
Description: 6S / SsrS RNA
Rfam family: 6S / SsrS RNA
About the family: E. coli 6S RNA was the first non coding RNA to be sequenced, but its function was unknown until recently. It consists of 184 nucleotides that fold into an extended hairpin structure with a large single-stranded internal bulge.
Source: Rfam by way of RNAcentral